AUUUACUGAAGAUUGAGUUGACUCGUUUAGUAAUAAUGAUUUAACAUGGACUACCACCACCUUUUCCAAGCACCAUAACCACUACAGCAUGCUGCUGAUGUGACGAAAGACGUUAAAGUUUGACUACAUAAUGGGGAGAAGGUGGUGUUGCCAGGGUACUGUUUACCAGCUAAUGAAAGUUCUGUUCCCUAACUAGAACUUACAGAGCUAAUCACCUCCUUGGGGAUAGUGAUGUUACCAAUAAACAGACUGGAGCACUAGAUGGAAUAGGUACAGCGCUACGGAAUUUGCUGGCGCUAUAUAACUAAUAGGUGGCAGAAUACUGGGAAUUUCACUUGUUUUAGAUUUGCCCAUUUUAAACAAUUUAAUGACAUUGUGUGGAUAAAGGGUGGGCACAGGCCGCUAUUUGUGCAACUCAGGUUUAGGGUGUAAGUAUCAGUUCAC
Pelobates cultripes (western spadefoot toad) is the source of this 444-nucleotide non-coding RNA. The record is from the annotation of a GenBank genome assembly. NCBI's taxonomy places the organism in Eukaryota, Metazoa, Chordata, Amphibia, Anura, Pelobatidae.